This 73-nucleotide transfer RNA is filed under the name Melioribacter sp. RNAcentral describes it as "tRNA-Gly". It matches the Rfam family "tRNA". Rfam says of the family: Transfer RNA (tRNA) molecules are approximately 80 nucleotides in length. Lineage: Bacteria; Pseudomonadati; Ignavibacteriota; Ignavibacteria; Ignavibacteriales; Melioribacteraceae. RNAcentral also lists the same sequence under 3 other names. The record is from RNAcentral.
GCGGGCGUAACUCAGUUGGUAGAGUAGUAGCUUCCCAAGCUAAAUGUCGCGGGUUCGAGUCCCGUCGCCCGCU